UACAGAGGGUGCAAGCGUUGUUCGGAAUUAUUGGGCGUAAAGGGCGCGUAGGCGGUUCGGCAAGUCUCUAGUGAAAUCUCAGGGCUCAACUCUGAGUCUGCUGGGGAAACUGCCGGGCUUGAGUGUGGGAGAGGAGAGUGGAAUUCCCGGUGUAGCGGUGAAGUGCGUAGAUAUCGGGAGGAACACCUGUGGCGAAAGCGGCUCUCUGGACCACAACUGACGCUGAGGCGCGAAAGCUAGGGGAGCAAACAGG
This 253-nucleotide ribosomal RNA is filed under the name uncultured bacterium. RNAcentral describes it as "partial 16S ribosomal RNA". It matches the Rfam family "Bacterial small subunit ribosomal RNA", at positions 524 to 776 of the family's 1533-position model. The record is from RNAcentral.